Molecule: ribosomal RNA, 253 nt
Filed under: uncultured bacterium
Lineage: Bacteria
Description: partial 16S ribosomal RNA
Rfam family: Bacterial small subunit ribosomal RNA
Source: RNAcentral
GACGUAGGGGGCGAGCGUUGUCCGGAAUUAUUGGGCGUAAAGAGCUCGUAGGCGGUUUGUUGCGUCGGCUGUGAAAUCCCGAGGCUCAACCUCGGGUCUGCAGUCGAUACGAGCAAACUAGAGUGUUGCAGGGGAGACCGGAAUUCCUGGUGUAGCGGUGGAAUGCGCAGAUAUCAGGAGGAACACCGAUGGCGAAGGCAGUUCUCUGGGCCGUAACUGACGCUGAGGAGCGAAAGCGUGGGGAGCGAACAGG